UACGGAGGAUCCAAGCGUUAUCCGGAAUCAUUGGGUUUAAAGGGUCCGUAGGCGGUUUAGUAAGUCAGUGGUGAAAGCCCAUCGCUCAACGGUGGAACGGCCAUUGAUACUGCUAGACUUGAAUUAUUAGGAAGUAACUAGAAUAUGUAGUGUAGCGGUGAAAUGCUUAGAGAUUACAUGGAAUACCAAUUGCGAAGGCAGGUUACUACUAAUGGAUUGACGCUGAUGGACGAAAGCGUGGUAGCGAACAGG
This 252-nucleotide ribosomal RNA is filed under the name uncultured bacterium. Its description in RNAcentral is "partial 16S ribosomal RNA". It matches the Rfam family "Bacterial small subunit ribosomal RNA", at positions 524 to 776 of the family's 1533-position model. The record is from RNAcentral.